RNAcentral lists this long non-coding RNA (921 nucleotides) under Marmota monax (woodchuck). Lineage: Eukaryota; Metazoa; Chordata; Mammalia; Rodentia; Sciuridae. The record is from RNAcentral.
CGGGCACGUGUGCGCGGCCCCGGGAGCACGCGCGCGAGCCCCCAGUGUGUGGCAGCGGCGGCGGCAGCGGCGCGGCGAGGCUGAGGCUCUUGUUUACCAGCAUUAACUCCACUGAGCGGAAAAAAAAAAAAAAAAGGAAAAAAACCCGAGGAGGAGCGAGCGCACCAGGCGAACUCGAGAGAGGAGAGCAGGGGAGAGGGACGCUGCCAGCGAGCCUGUUCCCGGCGCGCCCGUGGCCGGCGCUCGCAGACCCUCGGCCCGGCUCCCCGGACCCCCCUCCCGCACCCUCCACGCCCCUCCCGCGUGAGGGGACCUCCACCGCGCGCCGCGCGCCUCAGCUUUGACCUUCAGAGAGCCGGAGCCCCCGCGCACGGAGUCUGCGGCUGCGGGCGGGGGCCGGCGCGGGGCGGGCGGCGGCGGGGAGCCUGGGCUGCGCGGCGGGAGUGCUAAGCGCGGCGCGGCCGGCCCGCCGCUUUGUGUGUGUCCUGGAUUUAGGAAGGAGCUCGCGGCGGCGGCGGCGGCGGCGGCGGCGGCGCUGAGGGAGGAGGCGGCAGUGAGCGGAGCCCGGAGGAGGAGGGGGAGCCGCUCAUUCAUUUUUACUCCGCAUUUCUGUCCCUCCCCGGCCUCGCCCGCGACCUAGACUUCGGGGCAGUCUUGUGAACUGCGUCGCGCUUUCCCAGCGCGGAGGCUGGGGCGUCCGGCAGCCUCCCUCUCAGUCUGGGGGUCGGGUUUGUUUGUCCUCGCCGAGACGGAUUUUGGCUUUGCCCCUUUUCUUAGCAGUUUUACCCGUCUUUUGCCUCUCUGGGUUUGAAAAUGGAGGCCGACGACGCCGACAUCCCGCCCAGGCGCGCCUCGGGUUCCCGACUCAGCCGAGCCUUGGGCCGCUGCUGCCGGCGCUGAGGGGCCGCNUUUUUUUUUUCC